CCCGCUGAACUUAAGCAUAUCAAUAAGCGGAGGAAAAGAAACUAACAAGGAUUCCCCUAGUAACUGCGAGUGAAGCGGGAAAAGCUCAAAUUUAAAAUCUGGUGGUCUUUGGCCAUCCGAGUUGUAAUUUAGAGAAGCGUCUUCCGCGCUGGACCGUGCACAAGUCUCCUGGAACGGAGCGUCGUAGAGGGUGAGAAUCCCGUCUUUGGCACGGACACACCAGGGCUUUUGCGAUGCGCUCUCGAAGAGUCGAGUUGUUUGGGAAUGCAGCUCAAAAUGGGUGGUGAACUCCAUCUAAAGCUAAAUAUUGGCGAGAGACCGAUAGCGAACAAGUACCGUGAGGGAAAGAUGAAAAGCACUUCGGAAAGAGAGUGAAACAGUACGUGAAAUUGUUGAAAGGGAAACGCUUGAAGUCAGUCGCGUCGUCCGAGACUCAGCCUCGCCUCGGCUUGGCGUACUUCUCGGCCCGACGGGUCAGCAUCGAUUUCGCCUCUCGGAUAAUGGCGAGGGAAAAGUGACACCUUUACGGUGUGUUAUAGUCUCUCGUCGCAUGCGAGGGUCGGGAUUGAGGAACUCAGCACGCGCCCUCGGGCGUCGGGGCUUUCGCCCACGAUACGUGCUUAGGAUGUUGGCGUAAUGGCUUUAAACGACCCGUCUUGAAACACGG
RNAcentral lists this ribosomal RNA (667 nucleotides) under uncultured fungus. RNAcentral's name for it is "eukaryotic LSU rRNA". It matches the Rfam family "Eukaryotic large subunit ribosomal RNA", at positions 24 to 664 of the family's 3401-position model. Lineage: Eukaryota; Fungi. The record is from RNAcentral.